GAUGAACGCUGGCGGCGUGCUUAACACAUGCAAGUCGAACGAUGAAGCCCAGCUUGCUGGGUGGAUUAGUGGCGAACGGGUGAGUAACACGUGAGUAACCUGCCCUUAACUCUGGGAUAAGCCUGGGAAACUGGGUCUAAUACCGGAUAGGAGCGUCCACCGCAUGGUGGGUGUUGGAAAGAUUUAUCGGUUUUGGAUGGACUCGCGGCCUAUCAGCUUGUUGGUGAGGUAAUGGCUCACCAAGGCGACGACGGGUAGCCGGCCUGAGAGGGUGACCGGCCACACUGGGACUGAGACACGGCCCAGACUCCUACGGGAGGCAGCAGUGGGGAAUAUUGCACAAUGGGCGAAAGCCUGAUGCAGCGACGCCGCGUGAGGGAUGACGGCCUUCGGGUUGUAAACCUCUUUCAGUAGAGAAGAAGCGAAAGUGACGGUACCUGCAGAAGAAGCACCGGCUAACUACGUG
This 466-nucleotide ribosomal RNA is filed under the name uncultured bacterium. RNAcentral's name for it is "partial 16S ribosomal RNA". It matches the Rfam family "Bacterial small subunit ribosomal RNA", at positions 28 to 507 of the family's 1533-position model. The record is from RNAcentral.